RNAcentral lists this transfer RNA (358 nucleotides) under uncultured Microcystis sp. RNAcentral describes it as "partial 16S-23S ribosomal RNA intergenic spacer". The stretch from base 133 to 206 matches the Rfam family "tRNA". Lineage: Bacteria; Bacillati; Cyanobacteriota; Cyanophyceae; Chroococcales; Microcystaceae. The record is from RNAcentral.
AAGGGAGACCUAAUUCCGGUAGGAGACGAAAAAAAAGUAGUCCCAACCAAGAAUCAAUCCCAAAAGGUCGGAACGAGGUAUGAGGCUUUCAAACUAGGUUCUGGGUUCAUAAAAGACCUGAAUCAGGAACAAGGGCUAUUAGCUCAGGUGGUUAGAGCGCACCCCUGAUAAGGGUGAGGUCCCUGGUUCGAGUCCAGGAUGGCCCACCUGCACAGGUGGCAAAAACAAGAGAAGCUCCGAAUCAGCACCUUAUCUUAUAUACAUAUAUAAGAGAGAAUGCUGGCUCUGAGUACAGAGUCCAGAGGAACCUUGAAAACUGCAUAGAGCUAGGUGAAAAGGCCAAAAAAGAAGACCGCAA